This 468-nucleotide ribosomal RNA is filed under the name uncultured bacterium. Its description in RNAcentral is "partial 16S ribosomal RNA". It matches the Rfam family "Bacterial small subunit ribosomal RNA", at positions 28 to 507 of the family's 1533-position model. The record is from RNAcentral.
GACGAACGCUGGCGGCGUGCUUAACACAUGCAAGUCGAACGGAAAGGCCCUGCUUUUGUGGGGUGCUCGAGUGGCGAACGGGUGAGUAACACGUGAGUAACCUGCCCUUGACUUUGGGAUAACUUCAGGAAACUGGGGCUAAUACCGGAUAUGAGCUCCUGCUGCAUGGUGUGGGUUGGAAAGUUUCGGCGGUUGUGGAUGGACUCGAGGCUUAUCCGCUUGUUUGUGGGGUAGUGGCUUACGAAGGCUUUGAGGGGUAGGCGGCCUUGGAGGCGUGACGGGGACAUUGGGACUGAGGGACGGAGCAGAAGGCUACGGGAGGCAGCAGUGGGGAGUAUUGCGGAAUGGGGGGAAGCCAGAGGCAGCAACGCCGGGUGCGGGAUGACGGGCUUCGGGGUGUAAACAGCUGUCGCCUGUGACGAAGCGGGAGUGACGGUAAUGGGUAAGGAAGCAACGGCUAACUACGUG